AGGUGCUGCCGGUUCAGUGGGGCGGACUCAAUCCGGAAUGGAGCAGGCAGCCCCCGGUGGAAAACAGUGACAUGUUACAAAAGCAAAACACCAUUUUAAAGCCCCAAAUAAAAUCGUAAAUCACUUGUGUUAAAAGAGGCACCAGGGCCACUGUGUAAACUGAGGUACAGUUAAAUAUUUAUAGUUUAAAGGAUUAUUUUGUCUAUGUUAGAAGAAACAUCAAGUUCACUUGGUUCAGGGCUCUGUCUACACAGAAAUACAGGCACAACAAUGCCCUGCAGAAGAACUGGAGGGUUUGGAUCAUGGCAGUAGCUCCCCAAAUUUAUUUUCGUUUUUUUAAAUGUGUGUGUGUAGAGGGAGGAGGAGGUGGGGAGAGGAAUAUAUAACUGAACAGCAGAAAACACCUUUCUGGAAACAAAGGCAAGGAGCAGCAUUUCAAUUGCAAAUGCAUCAGCUAGAGACCAAAUAACAGUUGUGGGAAGACACUCAUAAAAUUAAUGUACCUUACUUAAAAAAAAAUCAAAUGCUUACUACAGUUACCUCGGUGCAGCUUAAUAAAAAAUUAGCCUUACUGACAGUCUUGUCAACAUCUUAAGUAAAUUAUCAUAGCGCUGGUCUUUGGAGAAGAGACCCUACACUUCUUGCUAAAACACCUCCUAUCAUUAAUCUUAAACCACUUGAAGAUUAUGAUGGAAAGAAUGGGAUCACUAGCCAUUAUCAUCUCAAAUUGCUGUUAAAAAGUCCGCUGUUUAUUUUUUGCAACCAAAGCAAAUGUAUCUGGGAAAUGCAGAAGAGGGAAGAAAGGAAAACACAAGAAAGGCAGAACAAUUGAGGCGAAUCCUGUUGCAACCCCGAUGAUAAACACAUGGAAAAAGCUGUUACUGCUCUUUGGAUUGCUGGAAUUUGGGCAGACGUUAGAAAAAUAAACAAAGCGAUGGCUCCACAUCAGCUCUGUAAAUGCAAUGAUACAGUCAAUGGAAGGGAUUCGAACGGAAACUUCUGCCUUAAGCCCAGGUACGUGUAGCACAGACAGAGAGCUCCACCGCCUGCUCCCCCGCAUUGCCCCAGCAGUGACCUCAGCCCGGAGAUGCAGAGAGGAAGUAAAACGUUCAUUUUAAACAUUAGUAAGCGGUUUCUUGAUUAGUGGUGGAAUGAAUUUCAGGAGUGGAGCUAAUAGAGCUCGGAGUGAGGAAGAAAUGAUCGUGUACGGUAGCAGCAAUAUUUCCCGGAGAAAUCAAACAGACCCGCAGCUCAGGUAAGCUGCUACACGAAACUAUUUUUAACUGAACAAAAGACUGGGCAAACAACAUCUGACGUCAGUGGCCAGCAUCCUCAGCUAGUGAAGGAGAGAUACUUAAAGUGGACGACGAGCUUAUCUCACAGAACCUUUCUUCUGACCCCCUCCGCCUCCCCACCCCAAAAUGCAUAAAGGAGGCAAAGCUCACUCAGCAUCGUAGAUCCUAUAGAUGCAGAGGUUCUUAUGAAGCACCUCUUGGUUGAUCCCGCCUGUGUUAAAGAGCAGCCUCAUAGCCUAAGGGGGGGGGGGUGGAUUGUAAACCGCGGAGAUGGGAACUACAGAAGCGAGGCUAAGGAGACUUGAGGGAGGUAAGGGUUAAGAGGUGAUGUAAAGGACAGGUGUAGCAAAAAGCUCUGUUGCGAAGUGACAGCUGUUACCAAAAAUAUUUUGCAACUUUUGGGACUGUCAAGUGUGGAAGUUCCUUUAGCCCACAAGCCUUUUCUCUAUGUAUCUGCAAAGGAUCCGAAUCCCUAAUGAGCUGCAUUCAUUGUUAAGGGUAGGUCUAGUUCUGCGCCUGGUUUAUCUCUAACACACACAUCUGCUCGGGAGACAAAGGCAAGUGUAUUUAUACUGCCCCUCUCAGGAGCUCCCUGAGUGAGUACCUUGCUCGCGACCGCAGACUGGAGUAAACAGAAGAGACGUUCCAAGUUUAGCGAUCAGAACAAGGCUUGGAGGCGCUUGAUUUAUUGUGAGCCCUAUUCGCAAGCGCUGUAAAGGCGAGUGGUCAUUAUUUCCUAAUAAACAAUUCCCUUCAUACCGAGCUGUGCUGACUGAGUGAGUGACUCACUCCUCUGUCCUGCCUGGAAGGAAGGAUUGACCCCCGCGGCUUUCUAAUACUGUAAACUUUGGAAAUCUCCUCACACUGUUUGAAACGAUCAUCGCUCGCUCUUUCUGUUGUGCAGGCGGCCUGAGGGCUGAAUGGGUUUCCUGAAGCACCCGACUGGGGUGCUAAGGGAUCUCGAAAGGUUAGGUUUUCCUAGCUGCUGCCCAUAGUCUGCCACGCCUUGCAAGGAAGCCUGACGUCUGGGUAGGGACGGAGUGAUCAGGGGCUGGGGGCUCUUUGCCAAGGAGGUUGGAGUGGGGUGAACGCAACUGCACGCGGUCAUUGCAGGCAUGAAACCUUGCAAGCUCUGGGCGAAUUCUCCUUGCCUCCUCCCCCUGGUCUUCCUGCGUCUCCUCCGCCUAUGCAGCCAGAGUCAACAAGGGGCCGCGAUUCGUGUGGCUGAGUUAGUUAAAAUAAAUAAACCCACGAAGAUUCACUGGCGAGCAAUGCCGCAUCGACCCGAAGGUUUAUUAAGAAGCGAGGCUGCUCCAAUCCCUCUUAAAAGCGUGAGGGCUGCAGCCAAGCAGAAGUCAAGUCACACUUGUUAUUCAAUUCAAACUUCCUCUUGCCCUGCCCUGGCCGUGCGAUCCCGGGAAAGCUCACACACCAAAGCCAUUGGCGAUCGCUACCCACCGCUGCUCAGCCCUUUGCCACCCGCCACAGAGCAGAGUGGGGAAAGGAGCUGGCACAGCGAGCCAAAGCAAACACAGCGAGCCUACGGGACACGUUGGGAGAUGGCAUCAAACCCGCUCAGCUUGUUCAUCUUUUCCCUCCGCGCCGAUCUGAACAAAGAUGCAAGGAGAGGGUCUGCCACAAAGUCCCUUUUCUUUCCUAUUGGCAAUGGGGAUUGUUAACCCAAAUAAAAAUCCUUAUAGCUGUCUCCUGGUGAAGAUGCAAUUGCUGUUAUUGCCAAUCACGAUUAGCAAUAAUUAGCCCAAAGGCAUGAAGGAUUCAGCUGCCAAGUUAUUCUGAAUAACCUGUUUGGAACAGGCAACAAAACAUUAGGUCCAAAGACAAACUAACUGCAAACUUCUAGUAACAGAGCUCUUCAAAGAGGAUCAGAUUCCAAGUAAGAUCCUAACUCCUGGCUCCUCAUGCUACGUUUUCUCUCAAGUAUCUUACGCCUCCAUUAUUAUUUUUUCUUACAUCCUGUAUUUCCCCCACAAAGGUCUCUGCAAGCAUGAAGUAGCAACUAAGCAUCUUCUCCAAACAUCUUUACUUGUUUACUCAGCUCUCUCCAUUUUAAAUACAAAUUAAACAAACUGGAGGGAUAAUGCAGUCCCAGAGCCAAGCCAGAGUUGCUCUGUUUAUACUCUGAAACUCAUCCUUAGGCCCUCUGAAUUGGGAAAGUUUAAAUGAAGUGUAACUAGAAGGAGGUCACAGGUGACUGACAAGUUCAAGCUACUUAUCUCAAUUAUCAAAUAGUUUUAUUUCCAAAUUGUGUUCAAUUUGAUUUUCCUGCCUCACCACAAAUUAGCUUAGAAAAAAAUCAAAUGAAAGCAGACAAUUUAAGCCAAAUCCUGUAAACCAUUAUUUAUUUGUAAAAUCAUUUUUGUGAUAUAUACUCCCAUUAAUGGUUAUGCAGUUGCCAAAUCUUUCCAAGUGGAUUUUGAAAUGUAGCCAUCAAAUUAUUUCAAAGGCAGGACUAUUAGGAACAAAAAUAAUUAUGAACUUUCAGAAGCAUUAUAAAAAAUGAGUUUCUGAAUGUUGUCUCUUUAAAUUUCACUUAAAUUUUGGUUUCAUUUAAGCCUUGAGGCACAGUAGAGAGCUAUUCAGUGUCUAACAAGGAGUUUGGAAAAUAAUGCUCAGUACCAGAAUAGAGCACAAUUUCUCCAUAAAAUAUGGAUAAGGAAUCAAUUCAUAAACACAAAUACCCACUAGAACUGAGUUUUAAUAUAGCAUUUCAUAUGAACAUUAUUAUAUGCAUUAUUUAGGAGAUAACAAAAGCUCUUCAAAUCAAGGCUUAUACAGUCACAUCUGGUUUUUUUCCCCUUCUAAUUUUCAUUUUUUAGAGAAAAUAUUAGGAAAAAAAACUACACUUCCCCCUGUUACCAUAUAUAUUAACUGUUACCAUCAGCUUUUAAUCAGCAACAUGUAUAUUGCCUUAGAUUUACAGAAUCCAUUCCAUGUUGCUUCUUUCAGAGGACAGUGAAAUGAGGAUACUAUCUUUAUUCAGUUGUAAGAUUUGAUGUUAAAAAACAAAAGCACAAACACACUUGUCUUACCAUUUGUUUUAAGUAUAUAUAAGUACACACACAUUGAAACUGAAAUAAUGAACUUUAGAUGACAUUAUUUGAGCAAUCAGACAAAUCAUAACACAGACCUCUCCAAAUAAGAAGUGGUUAGAGUGAAUUCACCUACAUUAGACCCAGAGUUAUCCCUAACCAAAGGUAUUCUACUUGGGAUAUUUAGUAAAUUUUGCUGUGUAAAGUCCUAUCCCUGCACUGUCAGUACAAAUUCUUUAGGCCCUCCAGUCUAAAUAAGAUAUCUCCAGUAACCAGGGAAAGAUAAAAAACCUACUCUUAGGUUUCAGAUAGUUUGCUAUAAUUCUUUUGCUAACCCCAUUUUUUUAAUAAUACGAUUACUCUAUAAUCUAGGUGAAAGGAUAAAUAUUGAAGAAGCCUCCUUUGUGAGCCAUAUUUUUUUCCAGUGUACACCAACACAGCUUUGUCCUUUGGAUGAAAAGGCAGACAAAGUGUUUUCAAAAUAGAAACACCUAGGAUUAUUUUGAAAAACAUAAGCAGUUUUUUAAAACACUCUGGAGUUUUCUGAACAACUCUGAUGUACUCACAUUCUUAUCACAACUAUUUUUUUUUUUACAAUUGUAAGUGGAUAUUCAAGCUAAAUUGAUGCUUUAUGUAUAUCCUGUCUCAAUUUGUAAAACUAUUCUCUGGAAGGAGAUAAUUUGAAAAAAAAAAAUACAAAAAAGAAGAAACGAUACCACUGACAACAAUUUACUUAAAUUCUCAAACCUUGAAAUUGAUGCAUCUCCUAUCAAUCAUAGUCAGAAGAUACGGUAAAACACAUCCAACAUUUGUAUAUCAAAAGUGGGACUAAAAAAACCUGUUUUGUUCAAUUUAAACAUCCUUCACCGUGUUGUAGUUUUAUAUGCUGAUAUUGAUGUGUGCACUUAUUACAAGUUAGAUUUCUCCUUUCAAACAUCCGUAAGGUAUUAACCUCACAAAAUUAAAGUACAUGCCAUUCUACUGUACAGAUGUUUGUUCUCACUGGCUUACUGACAAUGAAAUAUUUAUUAAAUAGUAAUAAGGAGAUAUUGACUUCUCUAUUCUGUCAAUAUGAAGAUUUGUUGAUCUGUGAGGUUAAUAUUGAUGAGGCAGAGUGAGGUAAACAUUUGGUCAGGAGGGUAAAUAAAUUCUGAUAUUGACAUAAAUAAAACUUAGUACUAAUAUGAAAA
Chrysemys picta bellii (western painted turtle) is the source of this 5535-nucleotide long non-coding RNA. RefSeq lists it as uncharacterized. NCBI's taxonomy places the organism in Eukaryota, Metazoa, Chordata, Testudines, Emydidae. The record is from RefSeq and is a predicted model, not a curated record.